AUUGAACGCUGGCGGCAGGCCUAACACAUGCAAGUCGAACGGUAACAGGAAGCAGCUUGCUGCUUUGCUGACGAGUGGCGGACGGGUGAGUAAUGUCUGGGAAACUGCCCGAUGGAGGGGGAUAACUACUGGAAACGGUAGCUAAUACCGCAUAACGUCGCAAGACCAAGAGGGGGGACCUAAGGGCUCUUGGCCUCCGAUUUUCCCAGAUGGGAUUAGCUAGUAGGUGGGGUAACGGCUCACCUAGGCGACGAUCCCUAGCUGGUCUGAGAGGAUGACCAGCCACACUGGAACUGAGACACGGUCCAGACUCCUACGGGAGGCAGCAGUGGGGAAUAUUGCACAAUGGGCGCAAGCCUGAUGCAGCCAUGCCGCGUGUAUGAAGAAGGCCUUCGGGUUGUAAAGUACUUUCAGCGGGGAGGAAGGGAGUAAAGUUAAUACCUUUGCUCAUUGACGUUACCCGCAGAAGAAGCACCGGCUAACUCCGUG
This 489-nucleotide ribosomal RNA is filed under the name uncultured bacterium. RNAcentral's name for it is "partial 16S ribosomal RNA". It matches the Rfam family "Bacterial small subunit ribosomal RNA", at positions 30 to 507 of the family's 1533-position model. The record is from RNAcentral.